CAGGAUGGCACAUGUUGCAUCAGUGAAUUCAACUUCAAGGAAGAUUUGGCCUGGCUGAGCUGGUUACUGGAAACCGCACUGACCCUUUGGCUGGGGGCAAUUCCACCGCACGGAGCUUGUGUUUGCUUUUCUCAGCUCCACUCCCUGCACUACGUUGCCUGUAGCCUAUUUAAAGCAGGGCGGCAGGAAGACCACAGACUCAUCCUUCUCCCGGUUAGGAAUCUGCUGGCGAGAGACGCGGGACCUACAGAGCCGCUGUGAAGUCCAUCAUGACGCAACUCCCCCUCCUGAUGCUGCUCCUCUCCAUGGCCUCAACCGCCCACCUGUGCAAACCCCGGCUAUUACGAUCUUCAAGCUGGAGACCUGUCUGUGUGGCACGUCCCCAACAGGGCACCGCUGAGAAAGUGGAGGGACUUGGCCAUCCUGAGGUACCACACUGAGACCGGCUUCCUCUCAUCCGAAGGUGG
Molecule: long non-coding RNA, 467 nt
Organism: Alligator sinensis (Chinese alligator)
Lineage: Eukaryota; Metazoa; Chordata; Crocodylia; Alligatoridae
Exons: 3
Source: RefSeq, a predicted model, not a curated record